This 441-nucleotide ribosomal RNA is filed under the name uncultured bacterium. Its description in RNAcentral is "partial 16S ribosomal RNA". It matches the Rfam family "Bacterial small subunit ribosomal RNA", at positions 339 to 795 of the family's 1533-position model. The record is from RNAcentral.
CUACGGGUCGCUCCAGUCAAGAAUCUUCCACAAUGGCCGAAAGGCUGAUGGAGCGACGCCGCGUGACCGAAGAAGCCCUUUGGGGUGUAAAGGUCUUUUAUAAGGGACGAAACAAUGACGGUACCUUAUGAAUAAGGGGCUGCUAAUCACGUGCCAGCAGCAGCGGUAAUACGUGAGCCCCGAGCGUUAUCCGGAUUUAUUGGGCGUAACGAGUCUGUGGGCGGCUUGGUGCGUUCCUUGUUAAAACUCUGGGCUCAACUCAGAGAUCACAGGGAAUACGGCCUCGCUAGAGACCGGAAGAGGCAGGUGGAACUGCCGGUGUAACGGUAAAAUGUGUUAAUAUCGGCAAGAACACCAAAUGCGAAGGCAUUCUGCUGGGACGGAUCUGACGCUGAGAGACGAAAGCGUGGGGAGAGAACGGGAUUAGAUACCCCAGUAGUC